AAAAUAGGGUUUUCUUAUUUCUUUCCUUUGCAAUAAACAAUUUUCAACAGUAUAAUAGCUUAAAUAGGUGAUUGUGAUGUCACCCUUAGGAUAUAAUCACUGCUUGUUACAUCGUUUCUGUAGAAAAACCAACUCACAUAAGAUGAAAUGUGAUGGGGUGAAAUCAUGGCAGUGUGAUUUUCAAACACCAACUUGCCUUGGAAGGAAAUGUGGGGAUGUGCACUGCUGGAAGCCAUGUGUUCUGAUAUGAGAAGAACUUCUUCAGAAGGUAUCUUAAUGCAUAUGGGGAAACUGAGGCCCAGAUUGCACAUACAUGAGUUGCCCUGGAAAAUCCCAAGUCAAAGAAGCUGCACUGCAGGAAAUCAAUAUGGUGCAGGCCCCAGGCAAGGCAUCACUGACUACACUUGCAAGAAACAAACGCCUGCAAAAAUCAGGACAGGAUGAUUUUGAAGCUGUGCAAAACAGACAUGGCAUAGGAGACACAGCAAUAACUAAGGGGCAACUAUUGCAUCCAGGAAAAAAAAAAAAGAAGAUAAUGACUUCUCUGCAACUAAGAUGAAGAUCCACUGAACUUUGGGGUUUGAAAUGCAACGUUAGAACUUCAGACUCCCGGCACCUAGGUCUCCAGCUGCUGGGUGGUGCCAGCAUCAGAGAUACACUCUGCAAAACAUAUACUGUCUUAGGAAAAAGUGACCCUGUUGUCCUUUCAGGCCCAUAUUCCACAGAAGACAAAUGGAGAUGUAAAAGGAAAACUGCAGCUCUGAGUUAAGAGAGAGCAAGUUGUCUGUUCUGAUACAGCCAGGAAAUAAGAUGUUCUGGUUAAUAUGUGCUAAAGAUGUGGUGCUGACUUUCCGACUCAGAAUAUGAUCACAUGUUUUUCUCAUUAAAACUAUAUUGAAUGUUA
Molecule: long non-coding RNA, 904 nt
Filed under: Pan troglodytes (chimpanzee)
Lineage: Eukaryota; Metazoa; Chordata; Mammalia; Primates; Hominidae
Description: lncRNA (ENSPTRG00000052989.1)
Source: RNAcentral